AUGUAUGCUGUGGGUAAUGCAGAAAACCUCAGCAAAAACACAGUCUGUAGGGCAACACAUAAGGUGGCACGUGCUAUUACAGAGCUGCUGAAUGCCUUUGUUGUGUUCCCUGGACACUUGCCCAUGCUGUCCAUAAAAGAGGGCUUUAAUAAUAUAGCAGUCUGGGUGAAUGAAGCCAAUUAUGUGAAUCGCAAGUCGUUCCACAGCCUCAAUGUUCAGGUUUUUGUACGACCACUCAGUCACUUUGUAUCACUGUGGUACACGUUCGGUGGAGGAACCAGACUGGAGUUUGGAAGUGACGCCCGUCCCACCCUGACGGUGCUGCCCCCCUCCAGUGAGGAGCUGCAGCAGGAGAAGGUCACAGUCCUGUGCCUGGCCAACAAGGGCUUCCCCUCAGACUGGAGUCUGGCCUGGAAGGUGGAGGGCAGCAGCAGCAGCAGCAGCUGGGAGGAGAGCAGGAGCCCCGGGGUGCUGGAGAAGGACGGCCUCUACAGCUGGAGCAGCACCCUGAGGCUCCCUGCAGACCAGUGGAGCAAGCUGGGCUCUGUGACCUGUGAGGCCACCCAGGGCUCCCAGACUCCGCUCUCAGAGACACUGAGGAGAGACCAGUGUUCCCAGUCCUGACCUGACUCACUGGGACUCUGCUACUGGUUUUACUCUGCUCCUGCUCUCUCUCUCUGCUCUCUGUAACACUGUCUCUCUCUUUUUUAUUUCACAUGUUUCAGUAACAAUAUUUACCAGCAUCUCUCAGUGUUUCAAUAUUGUCUCUGUGUUUCCAG
Molecule: non-coding RNA, 779 nt
Organism: Seriola aureovittata
Lineage: Eukaryota; Metazoa; Chordata; Actinopteri; Carangiformes; Carangidae
Source: the annotation of a RefSeq genome assembly